GUCCUCUUGUUUAUAUAUGAGGUCUGACCUGCCCGGUGAAAAUUAAUUUUAACGGCCGCAGUAUUUUGACUGUGCAAAGGUAGCAUAAUCAUUAGUCUUUUAAUAGGGGGCUGGUAUGAAGGGUUUGACGAGGUGUUAACUGUCUCAUUUAAUUUGAGUUUAGAAUUUAACUUUUCAGUCAAAAGGCUGAAAUUAUAUUGGAAGACGAGAAGACCCUAUAGAGCUUUAUAAUUAAAUUUUUAAUUAUUUUUUGUUUAUUAUUUUUUAUUAUUACUUUAAUUAUUUUGUUGGGGUGACAAAAACAUAUGAUUAACUUUUUUAUUUAUUUAACAUUGAUUUAUGAAUAUUAGAUCCAUUAUUAUUGAUUGUUAGAUUAAGUUACCUUAGGGAUAACAGCGUAAUCUUCCUUCAGAGUUCAUAUUUACGGGAAGGCUUGCGACCUCGAUGUUGGAUUAAGAUAAUAGUUAGGUGUAGCCGCUUAAUACAUAGGUCUGUUCGACCUUUAAAUUCUU
This 512-nucleotide ribosomal RNA is filed under the name Shaogomphus postocularis. Its description in RNAcentral is "partial 16S rRNA". It matches the Rfam family "Bacterial large subunit ribosomal RNA", at positions 1829 to 2597 of the family's 2925-position model. Lineage: Eukaryota; Metazoa; Arthropoda; Insecta; Odonata; Gomphidae. The record is from RNAcentral.